RNAcentral lists this ribosomal RNA (253 nucleotides) under uncultured bacterium. RNAcentral describes it as "partial 16S ribosomal RNA". It matches the Rfam family "Bacterial small subunit ribosomal RNA", at positions 524 to 776 of the family's 1533-position model. The record is from RNAcentral.
UACGUAGGGUGCAAGCGUUGUCCGGAAUUAUUGGGCGUAAAGAGCUCGUAGGCGGUCUGUCGCGUCGGCUGUGAAAACCCGAGGCUCAACCUCGGGCCUGCAGUCGAUACGGGCAAACUAGAGUACUGCAGGGGAGACUGGAAUUCCUGGUGUAGCGGUGAAAUGCGCAGAUAUCAGGAGGAACACCGGUGGCGAAGGCGGGUCUCUGGGCCGAAACUGACGCUGAGGAGCGAAAGCAUGGGGAGCGAACAGG